AUGGGUAGUACCGGUAGCCCCUCCUCGGUAGCCGCUCUACCAACAAGCGGCCGGCCACUCCCGAUACGCACGCCAAGAUCAGCGACGGCGUCUGAUGAUUCCGCGGCGGAGGAGCCCGUGAGCCCGACUGCAAUACUCAUGGACGCUAUAUACAUCGUGGUUACAAUCGGGCUUGGCUGCCCCGUAAACCUCCCCGUCCUCAGGGCCGGCCUCGCCACCCAACUUGCGCGUUACCCGCGCUUCCGCAGCAUUCAGGUGACCGACGGGUGCAAGAACCCACGGUGGGAGCGCACGGCGGUGAACGUGGACGACCACAUGAUCGUCCCGACGCUGGACCCCGUCGCCGUGGAGGCCGACCCGGACCAGGCCGUGGACGACUACGUGGCCUCGCUGCCCGAGCUCCCCAUGGACCGCUCCCGCCCGCUCUGGGAGUUCCACUUCCUCGACUUCCCGACCUCCGAUGCCACCUCCACCGUGGUGAUCCGCGUGCACCACUCCCUCGGCGACGGGACGUCGCUGAUUAUGCUCCUUCUGGCGUCCGCGCGCAGUGCCUCCGACCCGACACGCCUGCCGACCAUGCGGGAGUUGACGGUGCGCACGGGCGCCAUCUACAAGCCGUGGCGCCGGCAGCCACCGUCGGCGGGCGCCCUGGCGGCAUCCGCGGCAUGGGUCUUUUCCUAUCUUGUGCUCGCGUGGAAUACCGUCGUGGACGUCGCCUCCUUCGCGGCGACGGCUGCGUUCUUGGGAGACCCACACACUCUGUUCAGACGUGCGGAUCACGAUGUUGCGUUCAUCUCCCCCAGGCGCUUCGUGCGCCGGAGCCUUAGCUUGGACGACGUCAGGUUCAUCAAGAAUGCCAUGAACUGCACCGUCAAUGAUGUGCUGGUCGGAGCGACGUCUGCUGCUCUGUCACAAUACUACUUUCGCAAGUCUGGUUACUCCAAGACAGGCAAACUAUGUCUGCGGUCUAUCCUCUUUGUCAAUACAAGGCCAACCACUAGCCUACAAGCGUAUGUUAAUAUGAUAGAAUCUGGUAAGGUUGAUGACGUGGCAUGGGGAAAUCAACUAGGUUACAUCCUUCUUCCAUUUCAUUUGGCGAUGCACGAUGAUCCACUGGCAUAUGUCUGCAAAGCGAUGAACACAGUGGACAGGAAAAAGAGCUCACUUGAAGUUAUCUUCACAUAUAAGAUGACUGAAAUUUUUCUCAAAAUGCUGGGUCUGAAGGCGGGCGCUUUUAUCUUCAAACGUAUGUUCGCCAAUACAACUAUUUCGUUCUCAAACAUGGCUGGACCAACUGAACAAAUUGAGUUUUAUGGACACCCAGUUGACUUCCUCGCUCCUAGCGUUUAUGGAAUUCCACAAGCAUUGGUUGUGCACUACCAGAGUUACAAUAACACUCUCAAAGUAAUUCUAUCAGUCGAUGAGGAAGUAUUUCCAGAUUACACUGAGCUUUUGGAUGACUUUGUCAAGUCCUUCGCACGAAUUAGGGAGGCGGCGUCAAGGCUUUCAACAUCUAUCAAGAAAGAAUGA
This 1530-nucleotide ribosomal RNA is filed under the name Triticum aestivum (bread wheat). RNAcentral's name for it is "partial small subunit ribosomal RNA". Lineage: Eukaryota; Viridiplantae; Streptophyta; Magnoliopsida; Poales; Poaceae. The record is from RNAcentral.